Molecule: non-coding RNA, 791 nt
Filed under: Blastocystis hominis
Lineage: Eukaryota; Bigyra; Opalinata; Blastocystidae
Description: Eukaryotic large subunit ribosomal RNA
Rfam family: Eukaryotic large subunit ribosomal RNA
Source: Rfam by way of RNAcentral
UCAUCUCCAAUCAAGCAAGAAGACCUGCUGAAUUGAAGCAUCUAACUAAGCAGAGGAAAAGAAAAUAACGAUGAUUCCCUUAGUAACGGCGAGUGAAGUGGGAAAAGCCCAAUCCGAAUUAACAGUUAAUUGUGUUAAGUUGUGGAGUGUAGAAGUAUUGUUUAGUAUUAGUAUACUAUGAGAAUUGGAUUGGAAAGUCAAGUCAUAGAAGGUGAAAACCCUGUAUUUGCAUAGUGUAUUGUACUUGUGAAGCAGUACUUCGUGGAGUCGAGUUGUUUGGGAUUGCAGCUCGAAGUUGGUGGUAAACUCCAUCAAAGGCUAAAUAUGUUCAAGAGACCGAUAGCGAACAAGUACCGUGAGGGAAAGAUGAAAAGCACUUUGAAAAAAGAGUGAAAUAGUACUUGAAAUCGUGGAGGGGUUAAGCGUAGGAGUGGUUGAAUGAUGCAUGGAUUGUUAUUGUUGCAUGUUUGUGAUGAUAAGAAUGUAUGCAAAGGAGUGGUUGUUUAGUGGUGGUGGAAUGGUUUGAAACAUUGCUACUGAACUUCCCUUAAUUCCUAAUAACUGCUUCUCCGUCCCGUCUUGAAACACGGACCAAGGAGUCUAUCAUAUUUGCGAGUAGUUUAGUGUUAAACUAAAAUGCGUAAUGAAGGUAAUGGUUGUGACGAACCCUUCUAAACGGGUUUAGCAACAACUACCGGUCUUGCAUCUCUGAUAAAGGAUUCGAGUAUUAGCAAAGAUGGUGGGACCCGAAAGAUGGUGAACUAUGGAGCCAUGCAUUUAAUAAUAUUAGU